RNAcentral lists this ribosomal RNA (465 nucleotides) under uncultured bacterium. Its description in RNAcentral is "bacterial SSU rRNA". It matches the Rfam family "Bacterial small subunit ribosomal RNA", at positions 844 to 1320 of the family's 1533-position model. The record is from RNAcentral.
UGUCGUAAUCUAACGAGUUAAGCAUGCCGCCUGGGUAGUAUAUUCGCAAGAAUGAAACUCAAAGGGAUAGGCGGGGGAACACACAAGCAGUGGAUUGUCUAGAUUAAUUGGAUAAUAAGCCAAGAAUCUUACCUAGAUUUGACAUGUACUAUGUCCUAUGUGAAAGCAUAGUAGUCCGAGCAAUCGGACAUGGUAUACAGGUGGUGCAUGGUCGUCGUCAGCUCGUGCCGCAAGGUGUCUAGUUAAGUCUGGAAACGAGCGCAACCCUCAUCUUUAGUUAGAAUGUCUAAAGAGACUGCUCGGGUAACCGAGAGGAAGGAGAGGAUGAUGUCAGAUCCUCAUGCCCCUUACAUCUAGGGCUUCAUAGNNAAUACAAUGGGUGAUACAACGAGAAGCUAAGCCGCGAGGUGGAGCAAACCUCUAAAAUCAUUCCAAGUUCGGAUUGUAGUCUGGAACUCGACUACA